AGUUAAAUGCAAGUUUUGUUAGUUUAGUUUUUCUGUUAUUAUUAGCAAUAUUGUCAGUUAUUGGUAUGCUAUUAGUUGCAAAUAAUGGUUAGUAAUAGUUCUUGUAAGUUGUUUAUUUAUAUGAAACUAGUCACCCUGUAAAUGAUUGACUGAAUGUUAGAUGAAUGGUGAUGAAGUUGUCAAGUGAAUAUUGUUGUUGAUAUCACUUAUGGUUAUGAGUAUUGGUGAUUUUUGUCAAAACUCUAUAGUGCUUGCAGUUACAGAAUUCAAUUAACUUGUUAUUUUCAAGUUUCUGCUAAUCUAUGUUUUGUUAUUAAGUGUUAAAUGUGGGUGAUCUCAAUUAACUAGUUAGUG
This 354-nucleotide long non-coding RNA is filed under the name Lathyrus oleraceus (garden pea). RNAcentral's name for it is "Pisum sativum (pea) long non-coding RNA (PSAT_LNC014645)". Lineage: Eukaryota; Viridiplantae; Streptophyta; Magnoliopsida; Fabales; Fabaceae. The record is from RNAcentral.